This 906-nucleotide ribosomal RNA is filed under the name Boeremia exigua. Its description in RNAcentral is "LSU rRNA". It matches the Rfam family "Eukaryotic large subunit ribosomal RNA", at positions 25 to 949 of the family's 3401-position model. Lineage: Eukaryota; Fungi; Ascomycota; Dothideomycetes; Pleosporales; Didymellaceae. The record is from RNAcentral.
CCGCUGAACUUAAGCAUAUCAAUAAGCGGAGGAAAAGAAACCAACAGGGAUUGCCCUAGUAACGGCGAGUGAAGCGGCAACAGCUCAAAUUUGAAAUCUGGCGUCUUUGGCGUCCGAGUUGUAAUUUGCAGAGGGCGCUUUGGCAUUGGCAGCGGUCCAAGUUCCUUGGAACAGGACGUCACAGAGGGUGAGAAUCCCGUACGUGGUCGCUAGCCUUUACCGUGUAAAGCCCCUUCGACGAGUCGAGUUGUUUGGGAAUGCAGCUCUAAAUGGGAGGUAAAUUUCUUCUAAAGCUAAAUACUGGCCAGAGACCGAUAGCGCACAAGUAGAGUGAUCGAAAGAUGAAAAGCACUUUGGAAAGAGAGUUAAAAAGCACGUGAAAUUGUUGAAAGGGAAGCGCUUGCAGCCAGACUUGCCUGUAGUUGCUCAUCCGGGUUUUUACCCGGUGCACUCUUCUAUAGGCAGGCCAGCAUCAGUUUGGGCGGUUGGAUAAAGGUCUCUGUCACGUACCUCCUCUCGGGGAGAACUUAUAGGGGAGACGUAAUGCAACCAGCCUGGACUGAGGUCCGCGCAUCUGCUAGGAUGCUGGCGUAAUGGCUGUAAGCGGCCCGUCUUGAAACACGGACCAAGGAGUCUAACAUCUAUGCGAGUGUUUGGGUGUCAAGCCCGAGCGCGUAAUGAAAGUGAACGGAGGUGGGAACCUUUCGGGGUGCACCAUCGACCGAUCCUGAUGUCUUCGGAUGGAUUUGAGUAAGAGCAUAGCUGUUGGGACCCGAAAGAUGGUGAACUAUGCUUGAAUAGGGUGAAGCCAGAGGAAACUCUGGUGGAGGCUCGCAGCGGUUCUGACGUGCAAAUCGAUCGUCAAAUUUGGGCAUAGGGGCGAAAGACUAAUCGAACUAUCUAGUA